GACGAGGGAUCCUAGCGUUGUUCGGAAUCAUUGGGCGUAAAGCGGAUGUAGGUGGCUUUGUAAGUCAGGUGUGAAAGCCCUGGGCUCAACCCAGGAAGUGCAUUUGAUACUGCGAAGCUUGAGUGCUAGAGAGGUUACUAGAAUACCUGGUGUAGUGGUGAAAUACGUAGAUAUCAGGUGGAAUACCGGAGGCGAAGGCGGGUAACUAGCUAGACACUGACACUCAGAAUCCGAAAGUGUGGGGAUCAAACAGG
RNAcentral lists this ribosomal RNA (254 nucleotides) under uncultured bacterium. Its description in RNAcentral is "partial 16S ribosomal RNA". It matches the Rfam family "Bacterial small subunit ribosomal RNA", at positions 524 to 776 of the family's 1533-position model. The record is from RNAcentral.